RNAcentral lists this ribosomal RNA (209 nucleotides) under uncultured bacterium. RNAcentral's name for it is "partial 16S ribosomal RNA". It matches the Rfam family "Bacterial small subunit ribosomal RNA", at positions 568 to 775 of the family's 1533-position model. The record is from RNAcentral.
CACGUAGGCGGAUAUUUAAGUCAGGGGUGAAAUCCCAGAGCUCAACUCUGGAACUGCCUUUGAUACUGGGUAUCUUGAGUAUGGAAGAGGUAGGUGGAAUUCCGAGUGUAGAGGUGAAAUUCGUAGAUAUUCGGAGGAACACCAGUGGCGAAGGCGGCUUACUGGUCCAUUACUGACGCUGAGGUGCGAAAGCGGUGGGGAGCAAAACA